UACGAAGGUGGCAAGCGUUACUCGGAAUUACUAGGCGUAAAGGGCAGGUAGGUGGUUUGGUAAGUCUGUUGUGUAAGCUCCUGGCUUAACCGGGAGAGGUCAACAGAAACUACCAGGCUUGAGUAUAGGAGAGGGUACUGGAAUUCCCGGUGUAGCGGUGAAAUGCGCAGAGAUCGGGAGGAACACCAAUGGCGAAAGCAGGUACCUGGACUAUUACUGACACUGAGCUGCGAAAGCUAGGGGAGCAAACAGGAUUAGAAACCCCCGUAGUCC
Molecule: ribosomal RNA, 273 nt
Filed under: uncultured bacterium
Lineage: Bacteria
Description: partial 16S ribosomal RNA
Rfam family: Bacterial small subunit ribosomal RNA
Source: RNAcentral